CCAAUUUCUUUUCUUUUAUCAAUGCCUUGUUUGUGACUCUCCUGGAGCAAGUUCUGGGGUUGCAGGAACUAUGUCAAGAUGCCCUUGGUGACUAGCAUUCCCCACUGAUCGCUCAGAACCAGGCAGUAGCCAUUGGCGAGAGUGUUCAGUNUCUCAGGACUAUCAAUAGACCGGACCAUACUCAUUGUCGAUUGUCUCAUACGUUUUGUUUCCAAAGAGUCUUGUAUUGGGAACCGACAAACGGGACAUGUAGAUUGUUUUCUUAGCCAUACAUCAAUGCAAGACAGAUGAAAGUUGUGACCACAUUUGGGCAUGAUGCGCAAUACUUCCUUUUCUUGGUAUUCUCCUAAACAUAUUGAGCACUGCGCAUCUUCCACAGAACUAAAUGCCUCACGGCUGAACUUCAUAGUGGGAAUAGCCGAAACCAGCACUGGUUCAAGGCCACUAAUCCGAUGUUCUGGCUGUUCAAGGUCAAUCCUGGUCUCGAACAUUUGCCUCGAUUCGGACGCUCGAAUCCUCCCACAUAUUAUUCUUGUGCAAACAAACACAAUAAAAGUGGCACUCAUCCCAAACCCAAUAAUUGUAGUGAUCAAAUUCAUCCCUGAACCUAACAUCUGCUCACUAUCAAAAAUCAACGGGUACUCACGAGUCCAACCGCAAAUACAAGUUGCAAGAAAUAACCCCAAGUUCUUCAACAAGACCAAGACAAAUAAAAAUAAGGGGAAUUAGAAGACCCACCAGCUCGAGAGCAAUUAAGAUGAUGCAAGACACAGAAAACCAGGGAAGUAACAAAGACCCAGAUCAGGAACCUUUAAGAAAUGACUAUUCUUCAAUAGUUCAAUGCCAAGAUGCAUAAAACUAAAUCACAAAAAGAAGAAGAAGAAGAUUGAAAACCCACAUGGAAUCAUAAUCGCUUUGGGUGGACUCAAAGUUGAUUCAAAGGGAAGGGGGCCAUUGAACGGAUGGUAGGGAUGAGAG
RNAcentral lists this unclassified non-coding RNA (978 nucleotides) under Hevea brasiliensis (rubber tree). Lineage: Eukaryota; Viridiplantae; Streptophyta; Magnoliopsida; Malpighiales; Euphorbiaceae. The record is from RNAcentral.